UUUGGCAUUAGCUCUGUCAGACAUGGAGGAAGCUUCCAGCAGCUUCUCAGAGAAGCCACCCUGUAGCUGCCCCACUACCAAAACCUUGCCACAAAAAUCCAAAAUAGAUCAAAGCUUCUAUUUGAAGAAUGAAACCUAAAAAGAGUUCGAGAACUACUCCUAGAUCUGCAAUCUUUUUCUCUGUGUAAGAACUACAACUUAUGAACAAGUUUGAUUAAAAGAUCAAUCUCAGCUCUGGAGAUGAAUGCUUUUGAAGAUGAAACUAUGUUAAAUAUGUCAGCUAAUUUCAAAACCAGCAUGAAAGAAUUGAAGGUUAUGAAGCAAUGGUUAGCUGAGCCAGAGAAUGGGAAAAGCUCCUCUGCCAAGCAUCUAUUGAAUCAAAUCUGUAAUCAUCCUCAGUCAACGCAGACAGAUAUACCAGUAGAAAAAAUGCCUACUUUACCUGGACAGAUGAUGGUGAGAAUGACAUUGUUUUUGUGAAAUGACCUCAAAAGGCUGGGAUUAAAUACACUAUUUUUUCAAGAAGAAAGAAAAAAAAGAAAUCAAAGAAAAUAAUAAACCCUAGAAAACUAGAAGUUGUGAUUAAGAAAUUAUGUCAAUCCCGAGAGAUUCUUCUAGGUUUUCUUUAAUUAAUAUGUAUUGCCUUUUUAAAGAAUAGAUUUUAAUUUCUAGCUGUAAUAUCUAAUUAUAGGUUUUAUAUUUUUAAUAUUAAAUAUUGCUCUGAAAUUAGGAGAAGAAAUUUAGUUAUCUAGGAAUAAUAUAGAUUUUUCAAUGCACAGAAAAAAAAUAAAUGCUGCUCAGUUAUCUUUAGGACUUUUAGUAUGUACUGCAAUUUAAAUAGAAUGGCUUCUUGAAAUGACAAAAAAUGUUUUCUCUAAAUAUAAAUGCAUUAUUAAAAUGGUCAAACCUUUUUCUUCGGCA
Molecule: long non-coding RNA, 921 nt
Organism: Corapipo altera (White-ruffed manakin)
Lineage: Eukaryota; Metazoa; Chordata; Aves; Passeriformes; Pipridae
Exons: 3
Source: RefSeq, a predicted model, not a curated record